Molecule: long non-coding RNA, 2176 nt
Organism: Phragmites australis (common reed)
Lineage: Eukaryota; Viridiplantae; Streptophyta; Magnoliopsida; Poales; Poaceae
Exons: 3
Source: RefSeq, a predicted model, not a curated record
UACACAAAAAGAUUUGGUUUCUUGGAAUGCACUGAUAGGAGGUUAUUAGCACCACAGCCGUGCUACAGGGGCCUUACAGCUAUUCGAGGAGAUUAGGAGUGUCAAGGUUAUGCCAACUCACAUAACUUUCAUUUCUCUCCUGAGUGCAUGUGGAAAUGCUGGUUCUUUUUUUUUUUUUUUGUCACUGACGGAACUGAAGGUUUAUAUUCUCAACCCUUUGCUAAACAUGGAGACUUGGAGAGCAGGAGAGCAGAAGUAGACAAGUAAGAAGCAGCUUAGGCUGGCUGUUUCAUAAGGCAAACCUCAUUUCAUAGCGCUGUUAUUUUUAGGCCCCUUGUAUUUACAAAACAACCUCUUUUGUAAAACUAUUCAUGAACACUUAACUAAGCAGAAGCAAAGACUUACUAUGGUUUUUCUUAACUUAAUUAGGCGUCUGCAAUGGGCGGGCAAGAGGCCAAUGUGGUCACUGACAAUAUUCUGAAGGUACAUGCAACUUUGAGCUACAGCCUACAAUAAUUUCAGAUUGAAUUACUCUAAUCUGUGGUUACUAUAUAGACAUCACUUGCUUCAGAUAUUAGAACUAGAGAUAUGUGCAGACACGAUGGUAGGGGUUGAGAUGCUGAGGGACAUCUCUAGUGGACAACAAAAGCGUGUUACAACCGGUGAGAGCGCUUUUGAUGGUCGAAAUAUCAACUGGGCUUGACUGCUCCAUUACAUUCCAGAUUGUGAACUCGCUCAGGCAAUCCAUCACUUUUGUACCAGGUAGCCACUUAGUAAAUGUGUAACAUCAGCUGAUAACAAUGUGCUAGGGAAAGAAAAAUGAAGGCACAACUACACGAUCUCUGCUUUUGAGCUACUACAGACCGACGACUAUACAAUCAAUGUGCAUAUCAUUCCUCGUGCAGAGGUAUAACCUAUUUUUGCUUCUCAAAACAUAACAUGUCUAUUCAGUUUAUGCAUCUUAACUAGGUGAGAUUUCUUCUCUCAAGCUCUGAUUUGUUGACAAAUUCUGGUCUUAAUCGUUGCCACUAUUUUAAUACUUAUUCUUAACAUUCCCUUGCAUCGCGGUUCAUGAGUUUCAGGCUUUCACCUGUGUUAGUAAAAACUAAAAAGGCAAAUGGUUUGUACCUUGCACAGGUUUAUAUACAUGUAAGGAAAACAAACAUACUCAACAGGUAAUCCAUGUGCAUAACUACAUCUACCUCUUGGCCUAUGCAUUUGAUGGUUAAUCCGAAUUAAGUUUCUUGCAUAACACCUGAACAUAGGAGUGUUGUUCCAUUAAGCCGAUCAGAAUCAGUUCCUACCCACAAUCUGAAUUAUUUAAUGAUCGAUUAGAAACCCUCUCCUCACAAUCUGAAUUCUUAGAAGUAGCCUAUUUCCUUCUAUUUUGAUGCUGAGAUCGAUCCAACAUGUUACAAACUUAGUGACGACGAGAUUGAGAAAAGAAUAAACUUGCCUCCAUCACUGAGGCAGACAAUACCAAUUUCUUAAUGAAGACAAAAUUUAAUGAGGUGAUAGAUUCAUGCAAGGAUAUUACUCAGAGGGAGGGAUCUGUAGUUUGAUGUCAGUUUGAUCAUUAUUUGCGAUCAACAAUUGAGAUUGUACAAGAUUGAGUAUACCUUAUUUUAAAUAGCUUUUACAAUGCUAAUUUUGAACUUGUCAGUAUUAAAUUUGUUUUACACAAACAAAAAGUUCCUGUUAAAUAAGUCAGACCAAACUGACUUAUUGCUACUUUGCCAACUAUAAUUAAGUGUGUAAUGUAUUUUGACCUAUAUAUGUGAUGUAAUAUGUAUAUUUAACUCGGUUUGUAAUAUAUUUCUAACUUGGAGCCGAUAUAUGUGAUGCGUACACACAGCAUUAGUACUCCCUCCGGUCAUAAAUACUUGUCGCUUUGAUCAAGAUCCAGUCAAACAUUUAAAAUUUUGACCGUCAAUAGCUUCCAGAAUAUUUAGUUUGAAAACAUAAAAAUUAUAUGUGCAAAUUUGUCUUGAUAAAUACUUUCAUAAUAUUAUAUUUUUAUUGGAUCAAACUCAAACUGAUUAAUUUUGUUGAAAACCUAAAGUGUAUCUAUUUUGAAGUGCCAUUCCAGCAGCAAUAAAUUCAUGUAUACACAUGCCGUUGUUCAUGUAUCUUUAGCAACGGGUCAAUAUUGCGCGCCAACGGCGUGCAACUUUUC